GAACGCUGGCGGCGUGCCUAAUACAUGCAAGUCGAGCGGAGAAUGUGGAGCUUGCUCCACAUUCUUAGCGGCGGACGGGUGAGUAACACGUGGGCAACCUGCCCUGCAGAUCGGGAUAACUNCGGGAAACCGGNGCUAAUACCGAAUAGUUUGNUUCACCGCCUGGUGAAACACGGAAAGACGGNUUCGGCUGUCACUGCAGGAUGGGCCCGCGGCGCAUUANCUAGUUGGUGGGGUAAUGGCCUACCAAGGCAACGAUGCGUAGCCGACCUGAGAGGGUGAUCGGCCACACUGGGACUGAGACACGGCCCAGACUUCUACGGGAGGCAGCAGUAGGGAAUCUUCCGCAAUGGACGCAAGUCUGACGGAGCAACGCCGCGUGAGUGACGAAGGUUUUCGGAUCGUAAAACUCUGUUGUGAGGGAAGAACAAGUACCAACUAACUACUGGUACCUUGACGGUACCUCACCAGAAAGCCACGGCUAACUACGUGCCAGCAGCCGCGGUAAUACGUAGGUGGCAAGCGUUGUCCGGAAUUAUUGGGCGUAAAGCGCGCGCAGGCGGUCCCUUAAGUCUGAUGUGAAAGCCCACGGCUCAACCGUGGAGGGUCAUUGGAAACUGGGGGACUUGAGUGCAGAAGAAGNAAAGUGGAAUUCCACGUGUAGCGGUGAAAUGCGUAAGAGAUGUGGAGGNACACCAGUGGCGAANGNGACUUUUUGGNCUUUNACUGACGCUUUAGGCGCNNAAAGCGUGGGGGAGCAACAGGANUUAAAAUACCCUUGGUAGUNCACCCCCGUAAACNAUG
RNAcentral lists this ribosomal RNA (804 nucleotides) under uncultured Planococcus sp. Its description in RNAcentral is "bacterial SSU rRNA". It matches the Rfam family "Bacterial small subunit ribosomal RNA", at positions 31 to 811 of the family's 1533-position model. The record is from RNAcentral. Lineage: Bacteria; Bacillati; Bacillota; Bacilli; Caryophanales; Caryophanaceae.